UGAAAGAGUCUGCCGCCAAGGAACUCUUGAAUGUGAGUCGUGAUCAUCAUGUGUACAAAAACCUUCUAAAAGAUCUCGUAAUUCAGGUCAGUUAAAAUUUUAAUAUGGCAGCUUGUAGUUGUUUACCUGAUUUUUCCAAUUAUAUUUUCAGUAGGAUCCUAGAAUUUUAUAAGCAUAUGUAAAAAAGAGUUCCAUCAAUUACAGAAUAGAUUGCAGAACUUUAAGGGUUUACAGAAUAGACUGCAGGACUUUGAGAAAGGGCUGUGGUAUUUAAGUAUAGGGCUAUGAAGCACGGGCAUAGACACGGACACUGAUAAUAAUUUGAGAAAAUUACACAAUUCAGUGUAAUCAUGUGUCAGUGCCGUGUUGGUGUCAGACACCGAUGCGUGUCCGACCCCGGGACACACCUAAUCCGAUGAGUGUCCGUGCUUCAUAGCCCUAUACUUAAAUGCCACGGCCCUUUCUCAAACGACAAGACAGUCUCCUUCUCAUCCUUUCUUAUUAUUUAUAUCUUUACUUAUUCCACUAACCAUAAACCCCUGAACUGACACACCAACAGUAUUGCUUCAAGAAGCAAUACCACUGAUGUGUUUAAUGUCAUGGGUUCUGUCCCUAUCAUCCUGCUUCUCUUCCCUUUUUUACUGGUCUACAAGGCUUCUCAUUAAGUCUACUUGGAAUAUAAUUUUAGGGUUGUAAUUGACAGCCCCCCCGCCUCCACAGUCCAUACACUCCCUCCUCCCCCCAAAGAAACCUAACAAAUUUUACGUUAUUUUAUGUGCUACUUACUUCGUGUAUGUAAACUUGGAAUUAAAUAUAAGGAUUGUAUUUUACAGAGUUUGUUGAGGCUGAAAGAACCUUCUGUCCUAUUGAGGUGUCGGAAAGAGGACCUGAACUUGGUAGAGGAUGUUUUGGAUUCAGCUGCUAAGGAGUAUGCUGAAAAGGCAAAUGUUCAUGUACCAGAGAUCGUUGUUGAUAAGGAUGUCUAUCUUCCACCUGCCCCCAGCC
Molecule: long non-coding RNA, 1005 nt
Filed under: Medicago truncatula (barrel medic)
Lineage: Eukaryota; Viridiplantae; Streptophyta; Magnoliopsida; Fabales; Fabaceae
Description: long non-coding RNA (MTRU_LNC002739)
Source: RNAcentral